UUUUUUUUUUUGGUAUUUUAGGUUUCUAUUGUUUUGGUUUUUCCAUUUAUUUUUUUAGUGUUCGAAAAAAAUUAACUAAAAAAAAGUUGGAUAUUUGAAUUUGACUUUUCACUUUUUAUUUGUCGUGGAUGGAUGUCAGCUUUCAUACAUGAAUUUUUUUUUUUUGUGACUGAAAUUUGAAUAUGUGGGUUGUGAAUUGGUGGAAUUGUUGUUUGGGUUUUGAUAUAGAUUUUGUCCUCAGAGUAUUACAUCUUCUAUUGUUCUUCAUUGAUAAUUAUUGAAUUCCUUUUAAUUGGGUUAUUAGUGUUAAAACUCUUAGCAAUUAUUAUGCUAUCAAUAAGCUUUUCCCUUUAUCAAUAAGCUUCUUAGGUUCAAAUUUUUUGAACUUUUCAUCAAAGCAAAAUUUUUUCUUCUCAUAACAAUGUACACUUCACUUGUAGCUUUAAGAAAGCCUUUUUUGCAUUGUAUUGGGG
RNAcentral lists this long non-coding RNA (473 nucleotides) under Durio zibethinus. RNAcentral's name for it is "long non-coding RNA (DZIB_LNC002319)". The record is from RNAcentral. Lineage: Eukaryota; Viridiplantae; Streptophyta; Magnoliopsida; Malvales; Malvaceae.